UGGGGAAUUUUGCACAAUGGGCGCAAGCCUGAUGCAGCGACGCCGCGUGAGGGAUGAAGGCCUUCGGGUUGUAAACCUUUUUCGCUCAUGGUCAAGCCGCAGCUUUGGGUUGUGGUGAGGGUAGUGGGUAAAGAAGCGCCGGCUAACUACGUGCCAGCAGCCGCGGUAAUACGUAGGGCGCGAGCGUUGUCCGGAAUUAUUGGGCGUAAAGGGCUUGUAGGCGGUUGGCCGCGUCUGCCGUGAAAUCCUCUGGCUUAACUGGGGGCGUGCGGUGGGUACGGGUUGACUUGAGUGCGGUAGGGGAGACGGGAAUUCCUGGUGUAGCGGUGGAGUGCGCAGAUAUCAGGAGGAACACCGGUGGCGAAGGCGGGUCUCUGGGCCGUUACUGACGCUGAGGAGCGAAAGCGUGGGGAGCGAACAGG
This 422-nucleotide ribosomal RNA is filed under the name Verrucomicrobiota bacterium. Its description in RNAcentral is "Verrucomicrobia bacterium partial 16S ribosomal RNA". It matches the Rfam family "Bacterial small subunit ribosomal RNA", at positions 355 to 776 of the family's 1533-position model. The record is from RNAcentral. Lineage: Bacteria; Pseudomonadati; Verrucomicrobiota.